CUGGUCACUAUGGUGGACGCCUGUAAUCCCAGACUCGGGAGGCUGAGGCAGGAGGAUUGCAAGUUCGAGACCAGCCUCAGCAACUUAGCAAGACCCUCACUCAACCUAAAAAUUCAAAAAGCUAAUAAGUAAAUAAAAUUUAGAUUCCCCUGAAAAAGAAAGAAAGAAAGAAAAGAAACCUGCGAGAGCCAACUGGACCGUGUGAUGACGCUUUGUGAUAUCCUUUUGGUGACUGUAGAGAGUGCUUCAUCGUCGCCCACCUCCUGCCUUUUGGAUUCCUGGUAUGUCCACCCAGCCCCACGCAAAGAGGGUUUCCCUUCCACAGUGGUGACGCUGCGAGUUCCCUGCUGAUGUGGCCCGGAAGUUUCCUUCCUGCUCCUUCCUAACACACCCCAAGCAGAGGCCAGGAUGUGCGUGGCUUGGCCGAGGUGCCUGGGCAGAGCCGCCAAAGGUGAGAGGCAGGCGCCAGCCCCUCCUGAGGAGGGGUCAGGCCUCAGACGAGGAUGCCAGCUCGGUGGCCACCCCCACAGGCUCCUGCCACACAGGGGCCCAGAGUCCCUGUGCCCUGCUCCAGUGAUGGCCUAGCCCAGCACAUGAGGGGGACACAGAGAGUCACCAGCCUCCUCCUGGGGAAGGGUAGAGGAAGCCUCCAAGGCUGGCUCAGAAGUGGACCUGCAGUGGCUGAGGCUGCUGUCACCUGCUGGGGACGAGCCCUGCACCUCCCCCACCCACCAUGCAAAUGUCAGGAGAGGACCUCAGCACUUCCUAUCCUGUCACAGCCACUUCACUCAGGCCCAUCUGCAUUUAUUCAUUGACUUGGGCCUUCUUUCCAAACCUGGCACAGUGGUGCACACCUGUAAUCCCAGCAGCUCGGGGAGGCUGUGGCAGGAGGAUCGCAAGUUCAAGGCCAGCCUCAGCAACUUUGUGGAGCCCUGUCUCAAAAAGGUUUGUAAAAACUGAGUUGACUUCAGGAAGACCAUUAGGGAAUAAUAACACAGAAGGUUCUGGAACACCUCGACAGGCUCAGAUGCCGGCAGGAGACACCAAGUCGGAGCACCCUGCCCAGGACGGGCCCUGCUGCUCCUCCCGCCCUGGCAUGGAGCAGCUCUGCGGUUGGGCAGGGUCUGCUGCUCCCUCCCACAUUGGUCUCCUCUAAAGACAGGAACAUGAGGCACCCAACGAGGAGGAAGCCGUGGCCGGGAAGGGACCCUGGAGGACAAUCCCAUUGGCAGGUGGCAAAGGGUCUUUAAGGCGCAAAGGAGCCAGAGAUUGCUCCCUUCCACCUUAGGUAGCCACUGACCCAUGCUGAGCCCUCUGACACUCCACUGAAGACCUGCGACAGCUACAGUGACAGUCACGGUGGCAUGAAGAGGACAGCCAAGGCUCCUGCCCUCUGAGAUGACCUUGCAAUGGGAGCAGAGACCAGACAAAAAAUAAAUAAAUGAGAUCAUGCCAGAGAGCGGCAUCCCAGGGAGAAAAGCCAUGGCUGGAGAGGGGACAUGGGACACCCUCGCCUUCUGCUGUAACUUGCAGGGUGGCGAAGGGCCAGCCCAGGAGGAGGCAGGCAGGAGAGGGCCCCGCGGUGGAACACAGGACACAGCCCGGGUGGCUGGGUGAGAGUGAGCCUGCUGCAGGAACCCUCAGGUGCUGCUGCGUGGCUCAGGGACAGGGGACAGUGGCUUGGGCCAGAGGGCAAAAGAAAAUGGAGGAGGGAUCCAGGAUCAGCAGGACUGUGGACAGCUUGGAGGGAGUCACGGUGAGAGAGGAGAGGGGAGGGGUGCAGUUCCCCAUGAAGGACGGAGCCUGACCCUCCAGCCCCACCUCCUGGCCCAGCCUUGUGGCUCUGCUGUGCUCCCCCAGCCCCCACUGGGACUUGCAGGAUCUGGGAGGGGCUCCCUCAGCACGGAGCAGAGGGCCAAGGCCAAGGUGGCUCCCAGCUCCAGCCUGAGAAGGCUCCAGGCAGAGGCUUGGGAUUAG
Molecule: long non-coding RNA, 1977 nt
Organism: Ictidomys tridecemlineatus (thirteen-lined ground squirrel)
Lineage: Eukaryota; Metazoa; Chordata; Mammalia; Rodentia; Sciuridae
Source: Ensembl